GACGAACGCUGGCGGCGUGCUUAACACAUGCAAGUCGAACGGAAAGGCCCUGCUUUUGUGGGGUGCUCGAGUGGCGAACGGGUGAGUAACACGUGAGUAACCUGCCCUUGACUUUGGGAUAACUUCAGGAAACUGGGGCUAAUACCGGAUAGGAGCUCCUGCUGCAUGGUGGGGGUUGGAAAGUUUCGGCGGUUGGGGAUGGACUCGCGGCUUAUCAGCUUGUUGGUGGGGUAGUGGCUUACCAAGGCUUUGACGGGUAGCCGGCCUGAGAGGGUGACCGGCGGCAUGGGGAAAGAGGUAAGGACGCGAGGGGGCCGGGAGGAAGCGGGGCGGAGUAUGGAAGAGGGGGCGGGUGUGUGAUGCCGCGACGCCGUGAGGGGGAUGAGGGGAUGCGGGUAAGGAACCAAUAGCGCAGGAAAAGAAGCGUGAGUGAGGGUAAUGAAUAAGGGAGCAACGGCUAGCUAGGUG
RNAcentral lists this ribosomal RNA (468 nucleotides) under uncultured bacterium. RNAcentral's name for it is "partial 16S ribosomal RNA". It matches the Rfam family "Bacterial small subunit ribosomal RNA", at positions 28 to 507 of the family's 1533-position model. The record is from RNAcentral.